Austrofundulus limnaeus is the source of this 930-nucleotide long non-coding RNA. RefSeq lists it as uncharacterized. The record is from RefSeq and is a predicted model, not a curated record. NCBI's taxonomy places the organism in Eukaryota, Metazoa, Chordata, Actinopteri, Cyprinodontiformes, Rivulidae. The transcript has 3 exons.
UUGAAGCCUCAGCUCAGCCUCAGUGUGUCGCCUGAUUAGACAAAGUUAGGUGGAAUAAGAGCUGCUGUGCUCUGAUAAGACACACAAAUACCAGCAGCUCCAUCCACACGUGUCACAAGAAGAAGGUCAGAGGUGACAACAUGGUUUCAUGGCUCAGGCACCAGCUUUACUUCACAGGACGUCAGACUUYAGGUGUGAAGAAUAAUAACAUUAAGGAUUGAGACGCUCAGUCUGAUUGGACCGUUUAGAGAUGAAGAGGAGGGAAGGAAGGCCUCUUCUAAACGGUCUGAAUUAUUCAUUCAGAUCAAGUGAACGAGGAAAUCAGUUUCUUCAUCUGAACCGGUCGGGUUGUGAAGGCAACAGGUCCAGGAGGAAAACCAAGACUUUCCUCUUCAGCUUCUUCAGGGGCAUCACAGGGGUUCUGCUUCUGUCCCAGGUCUGCUCCCAGUGGGUCAGAACCUCCAGAGGGAUCCUGAUCAUGUAACUGAACCACCUCAGCUGACUGUUUAACGAGGAGGAGCAGCAGAUCCACUCCAAGCUCAGCUGGCUGAUGGACCUCACCUUGAUUCUAACGCUGAACCCAGACACCCUACAGAAGAAGCCAGUUUCAGACCCAGGAUAAGGUUCCUGGUUCCUGGUUCUUUCCAAAUCAAACACUAUUUUCUCCCAGACUGCUCCCUGAGAUUCUGUUCAUGAACACCACAAACACUGAUGUGCCACAAAAGUGAAACAUGCAGCAGGAAAUAAAGACUGGUCUUGGUCCAGUAAUGCAGACACAGCUCUGUUUUAUUCUUCAGGUCCUGAAGAGUCCUUAAAGAGUUCUAGAGACAGAAGCAGCGGUUCAGAGUAAAAGUCUGAAAGGUUGUCGUGACAGAAUCAACGGUUCAAAGUACCAAAGUGCCUGUGACACCGUCUGUGUGUCAGGUAUUG